Molecule: long non-coding RNA, 5831 nt
Organism: Heterocephalus glaber (naked mole-rat)
Lineage: Eukaryota; Metazoa; Chordata; Mammalia; Rodentia; Bathyergidae
Source: Ensembl
GUUAGAUUGGCUAAUGGUUUGACUGUUUAGUUUAUUGUUGCAAAGAACCAACACUUCGAUUCAUUAAUUCUUUGUAUUUUCUUUGGUCUCAAUUUCAUUGAUUUCUGCUUUAAUCUUUAUAAUUUCCUUCCUUGCACCACUGUAGGGUUUGGAUUGUUCUUGUUUUCCUAGGCCCAUGACAUGCAUCAUUAGGGUAUUUAUUUGGGCUCACUCUGUUUUUGUGAUGUGGGCAUUCACAGCUAUAAAUUUCCCUCUUAGAAAUACUUUCAUUGUGUCCCAUAAGUUGUUAUGUUGUAUUGUAUGUUGUUCUGUUAUGUUGUACUGGAAUUAUCUUUUAGUUCUAGAAACUGUCUUAUGUUUUCCUUGAUUUCUUCUGUAACCCAUUGUUUAAGAUUGUAUUGUUCAGGGCUGGGGAUUUAGCUCAGUGGUGCGGCCACCUGCCUUGCAAGCGCAAGGUCCUGAGUUCGAUCCCCAGUACCCCUCGCCCCCAAAAGAGUAUAUUGUUUAGUUUCCAUGCUUUUGAAUAAUUUCUGUUUUCUUUUGUUGUCAAUUUCUAACUAUGUUGCACUAUAAUGUGAUAAUAUACAUGGUAUAAUUUCAAUUCUUUUAUAUUAAGCUUGCUUUAUCAGCUAGUAUGUGGUCUGUUUGGAGAAAGUUGCAUGUACUGCUGAAAAGAAUGUAUAUUCUGUUGUUGGAUGGAACACUCUAUAGAUCCUUAUUACGUCCAUUUCUUUGAAACUUUUGUUCAACUCAAUUAUUUCUUUUUUCCUUUUUUAAUCCAGUUGAUUUGUCUGUGUUAGUGGGGAACUGAAAUCUCUCACUAUAAUUGUGUAUAUCUGGUCUUUUAUGUCAAGUAGUUCUUGUUUUAGAAAGUUGGGUGUGCAGUUUUCAAUGUAUAUAUGCUAAUAAUUGUUAUCUCUUCAUGUUUGAUUGUUCCCUUAACCAAUAUGUAGUGACCAUCUUUGCCUCUUUUGAUCAGUUUUGUCUUGAAGUUCACUUUGUCUGGAUUUAGGUUCACUAUACCUACUUUUGGGGGGGUUCCUGUUGCAUGUGAUAUUGUUUUCCAUCUUUUGAUUUUUAUUGUAUUAGUUUCUUUUUUUGUUAAAUGUGUUUCUUGUAAACAGCAUACUUUAGAAUUUUGUUUCUUAAUCUAUCCUGCCAGCCCGUCUUUUGACUGUGGAAUUGAGACCAUUCAUGUUGAGAGUUAUAACUGAUAAGUAUUAAUUUAUUCCUGUCAUUGCCUUAUUUUCCUAUUGCUAAUCCCUCAUCUUUCCCUUCUACUUAACUACUCACCUUACCUGAUAUAUUCAUUCUAUUAGAUAUGUUCUUAUUUUUAGUUUCAUUGUCUCUUUCUAGUGUAUCCUUAAAAUUUUUUUGGAGUGUUGAUUCAGUAGUCAGGAAUUUCUUUAGGUGCUCCUUAUCAUGAAAGUAUCUUAUUUCUGCAUUAACUUUGAAAGAUAAUUUUGCAGGAUAUUUCAGCCUGGAUUAAAUUGUUUUAUUUUAGGGUUUGAAGCACUUCACUUCAAGAUCUUCUGGCCUUAAAGGCUUGUGUUGAGUAGUCUGCUGUAAUUUUAAUGGGUUUUCCUCCAUAAGUGAUUCAUUGUUUUUCCCUAUCCAAUUUUAAUACUCUAUUCUUGGGUUGGACUUCCUGGAUUAUGGCUAUGAUAUGUCAUAGAGAAGUUCUUUUCUGAUUAUGGCUAUUUGGGAUUCUAUAUGCCUCACUUACCUGUGUGUUAAAUUCUUUUCCCUUUUUGAGAAAGUUUCCUGCUUUUAUUUCAGUAAAUUGGAUUUUUAUAUCAUUUCUGCUGAUUUUUCACUAAUUCUGAUUAAUCAUGACAAGUCUUCUUUGCAUCAUCUAGGAUAUUUUGGAUCUAUUUUUCAUGUUCUCUUGAUGUUUUUAAGGUUUCUCUCAUUAAUUAUUCACCAAAUAAUAGCCUUCUUUUCCUUUUUUUUUUUUUUUUGGUACUGGGGAUCAAACUCGGGUCCUUGCGCUUGUGGCAAAACCACUAAGCUAAAUCCCCGGCCCCAUAGCCUUCUUUUCUAAUUCUGACCUUCCAGUCUCACAUUGGUCACCUCUGCUACCCAUACUUUGAAUCAAAUGUUUAAUCUCCUGAGUUUCUAUUUGCAGCUCUUUUAUGGACUCUAAUUCUUUUUUGCGCUGGUAAUUCAUUUUGCAUCAUUUUCUGUAGCUCUUUGAGAUUUUUAUUAGUAUCUUCUAUAAACCUGCUAAUCAUUUUGUUUAUCUGGCCCAUUAUGUUUUGGCUUAUGUCUUCUGUGAGCUUGCCAAAUGCCUUAGUGAUCUAUUUUUUUUUUUUUAUCUCCCAGGUACUGUUUCAAAUAAUUCAGGUAUGUGGCUUUUAUUUUCCUUCCUUUCGAUGCCCUCUGUAUCAUCUUUGGGGGAGUUAGGAGUUUUUGGAGCCAUUUUAUUAGCUUGUCUUCUCGUUUUCUAUUUUGUUUCUUUGUUUGUGUUGAAGUGUACAGGUUGAUUGUAGUGGAAAGCUGUGUUUAUAGUAUGGAGACCUCUUUAGUUCAUGUUUACUUUUCAGUGGUAUCCUCUGAGCAUGGCUAACUGUUGGCCAUUGCCUCCAUCCUAGGUUCCAACCACCUCUGUUUAUUUGAGAUGGGAGGUUGCAGUAUAUUUGGCACAGUACCCAAUUUUCCAGGAAUGGGGCACAAUAUUAUUAAUUUCAAUUCUUUUACAUUUACUUAAGCUUGCUUUAUUGGCUAGUAUGUGGUCUGUUUUGCAGAGAGUUGCGCAUCCUGCUGAAAAUAAUGUAUAUUCUGUUGCUUGGUGGAAUACUCUAUAGAUAUCUAUUAAGUCCUAAUUCAGUAUACCAAGAAAAUUGGAAAUCUAUCUCUAAAUAUAAUUAUUACACAAAUGUUUAAAACAGUGUUUAUAAUGGCCCCAAAGUGGAAACAACCAAAACAUCCAUUAACUAAAGAAAGGAUAAACAAAAUGUAUCCAUGCAAUGAAAUGUUAUUCAUUCUUAAAAAGGAGUAAAGAGCUGAAAUGUGCUACAAAUGGAUUGAAUCUUGAAACAAUUAUGCUAAUUGAAAUAAGCCAGAUGGGAGAGGCUAUGACAUGGUUUAGAUCUAAAAUGUUCCCACAGCCGGGAAUGGUGGCAGAUGCCUAUAAUCCCAGCACUCAGAGGCUGAGGCAGAAGAAUUGUCUGGAAUUUGAGGCCAGCCUGGUCUACAUAAUGAGUUUAAGGACACCCUGAACUACAUAGUGACACCCUAUCUAAAAAAAAAACCAAAUAAAUUAAUAAAAAUGUCAUGGGUUCAUAAAUGGGGCUUUUAGGAAGUGAUUAAAUCCUGGGAGCACUAUACUUUAAUCCAAGCUCCAAGCUGAAUAUGCUGUUAGGAGCUAGUGCCCAUUGGGAGAUGGGUGACAGAGUUGUGCCUUUCGAGAGUAUGUCUCUCAUUCUUCCUCUUACUGUCCUCUCAGCUCCCUGGUUGCCAGGAAGUCAACAUUGUUGUUGCACCAUGCAUUCUGCCAUGAUGUUUCUGCCUUAGAGCUAGCCAAACAUGGACUAAACUGAAAUCAUGAACUAAGUUGAAUCUCUCCUUUAUGUUGAGGGUAUUGGAUAUUUUGUCCCAGCAACAGGAAAGCUGAUAUAGAAAACUGCUGUGACUUUACUUGACUAUGUGGUUCAGAAGCCUUUGGAACUGGUUUGUAGGAGGAGUUUGGAAAAGUUUGGAGAUGUGGGCUAAGAAGCUCUAGAAUGCUCUAAGCAGAGCUUAAUGGGCAUGUCUGGUUGGAGGGCAGAAGACCAGAAUACUGAUAAAAAUGGGACCAGUAAUUGCCAGGUUCAUGAAGUUUCAGAUGAAAAUGAGGACUCUAUUGGGAACUGGAGUAGAAGCCAUGUAUGUUAAAUUCUGGCAAAGAUGUUGUCUACAUUUUGCUCAUGUCCUAAGACUUUGUAUGAGAUUGAAUUUUAAAAUGUUGAUCUAAUUAAUUAGUUAAUGUUGGUGGAGAAAAUUUCAAGAUAGAACAUUUUGACUAUUGCAUGAGUAUCGCUGGCUGUUUUUAAUGAGAUUUACAGUGAAAAUUUGGAGCAAAAAGCAGAUCCAAGACAUUUGGAAACUUUGCAGUUUGGCCAGAAAUGAAGCUAAGUAAAGUUGGGGCCACAGAAGGUGUGGCUGACAAACAGAUUAGAACCAUUUUUUAAAAGCCUAUUACUUUGUACAGAGGCAGUAGGAAAGAGCACAUCUCAGGAAUUGACCAGACCUAGCUAUUGCAGGCUCAAUGGUAGAAAUGGGUAAGCUCCUUUGAAAGCCUUUGAAAAGAGAGCCUCAGGGUGCCAUGCUCAUUCAGGGCCACAUAGGAAAGUUUUCCUGCUUUCAGCCAUCCAGGCACUCAGGUCACUGAAGCUCUGAGGGGGUCAGGCUACUGCUCAAGCUGGUGGCAGAUCUUGGCAUCAUCCACAUAGGCAUGCAGAAUAUAAGAGUUGUGGGAUCAUAGAGGCUUCCACCCAGAUUUCAGAGGAAGUCCUGGGAAGCCAAGAACUGCAGAGUGACAGGGUGACAGUUUCUGCCAGUAGCUCCUGGUAUGCCAAUGGAUGAAACAACGAGAAUGAAAAUUAAGCUGCAGUGAAAACCCCAGGAAGUUGGAGAUGCCAGGAACACAGAACAUUUGCUGAGAAGAGUCAUAGGCAGUGAACAGAGCUAGUGCAAGAGAAAGCCUCGUGUGGCUUUCCACCAAGGCCACAAGUGUGGGACUGCUCAGGUCUUUUUGCACUCACAUCUCACCACUUGCACCCCAGCUGGGGCUGGGCAUAGAUCUAUAGGACUUAAUGGCUGGGUUUCCCUGCUGGGUUUUGUUUUUCCUCUGGUCUGAUUCCUUUCUUUGCCCUCAUUCCUCCCUUUUGGAAUGGGAAAGUUUACCCUAGACCAUUGUAUGUUGGAAGCAUUUAACUUUCUUUUUAUGUUUUUACAGAGGCUCGCAGCUAAGAGUUUGCCUUGAGACUUAGAAGAGACUUUAGACUUGGACUAUUGAGAUUCUGGCCACUCUUGAAGAUGGAGUGAAUGUAAUUUGCAUAAGCAAAUGGACAUCAAAUGUUUGAUCUAAAAUAUGCUCCUAAAAUUUCAGGAGUUCAGGGAUGGGGUUAUUGGAAGGUGAUUGAAUCAUGAGGGCACUAUACUCUGCAGAGUAAUCCAUUGAUGAGUUCCCAGGUGAAUGUGCCAUCAGGAGGUGGGCCCCAGUUGGAGGUCAUGGGUUACUGGAGGCAUGCUGAAGGCAGAUGUAUCUCUCACUCUGGCUCUGGCUAGUCAUGUCUACUUCUUGACUGCCAGGACAUUAGCAUCUUCACUCCACCACACCCUUCUACAAUGUUUCUGGCUUGGAGCUAUCCAAACAUGAGCUGAAACCAUGAACCAAAUUAAACCUCUCCUUUAAGUUGUUGGUUAUUUCAUCCCAGCAAUGGAAAGCUGAGUAACACAGACUACAGCUACUUUUACUCCAUUUACAUGAAAUGUCCAGAAUAGAUCAAUCCAUGCAGACAUUAAGUAAAUUAGCAGUUUCCAGGAGAAAGGGAAAAGAGGGUAUUAGAAGUGACUGCUGGGCCAGGGAUUUAGCUCAGUAGCACCAUGCCUGCCUUGCAAGUGCAAGGUCCUGAGUUCAAUCUCUGGUACCAAAAAAACCCAGAAGUGACUGCUGAUAGGUACUUUUUGGGGUGACAAAAAAUGUUCUAAAAUUAGGUAAUGAUGGCUGCAAAACAUUGAAUAUACCCCAAAAACCACUGUAUUUUAUUCUUUGAUAGAGUAAAUUUUAUAUCAAUUUACAUUUAUUAUAAUUUUAUCUCAAACUAAAUUACAAAAAAUAAUUGAGU